Molecule: ribosomal RNA, 568 nt
Filed under: uncultured bacterium
Lineage: Bacteria
Description: bacterial LSU rRNA
Rfam family: Bacterial large subunit ribosomal RNA
Source: RNAcentral
GGGACCAUCCUCCAAGGCUAAAUACUACUGACUGACCGAUAGUGAACCAGUACCGUGAGGGAAAGGCGAAAAGAACCCCUGUGAGGGGAGUGAAAAUAGAACCUGAAACCGUGUACGUACAAGCAGUGGGAGCCCGUAAGGGUGACUGCGUACCUUUUGUAUAAUGGGUCAGCGAGUUACUUUCAGUGGCGAGGUUAACCGUAUAGGGGAGCCGUAGGGAAACCGAGUCUUAACUGGGCGACUAGUCGCUGGGAGUAGACCCGAAACCGGGUGAUCUAGCCAUGGGCAGGUUGAAGGUGAGGUAACACUUACUGGAGGACCGAACCCACUAACGUUGCAAAGUUAGGGGAUGACCUGUGGCUAGGGGUGAAAGGCCAAUCAAACUCGGUGAUAGCUGGUUCUCCCCGAAAGCUAUUUAGGUAGCGCCUCAUGUCUUACUACUGGGGGUAGAGCACUGUUUCGGCUAGGGGGUCAUCCCGACUUACCAACCCGAUGCAAACUCCGAAUACCAGUAAGUACAAUCAUGGGAGACACACGGCGGUGCUAACGUCCGUCGUGAAGAGGGAAA